AGAGUUUUGUCCUGGCUCAGAACGAACGCUGGCGGCAGGCUUAACACAUGCAAGUCGAGCGCCCCGCAAGGGGAGCGGCAGACGGGUGAGUAACGCGUGGGAAUCUACCCUUUUCUACGGAAUAACGCAGGGAAACUUGUGCUAAUACCGUAUGUGUCCUUCGGGAGAAAGAUUUAUCGGGAAAGGAUGAGCCCGCGUUGGAUUAGCUAGUUGGUGGGGUAAAGGCCUACCAAGGCGACGAUCCAUAGCUGGUCUGAGAGGAUGAUCAGCCACAUUGGGACUGAGACACGGCCCAAACUCCUACGGGAGGCAGCAGUGGGGAAUAUUGGACAAUGGGCGCAAGCCUGAUCCAGCCAUGCCGCGUGAGUGAUGAAGGCCCUAGGGUUGUAAAGCUCUUUCACCGGAGAAGAUAAUGACGGUAUCCGGAGAAGAAGCCCCGGCUAACUUCGUGCCAGCAGCCGCGGUAAUACGAAGGGGGCUAGCGUUGUUCGGAAUUACUGGGCGUAAAGCGCACGUAGGCGGAUCGAUCAGUCAGGGGUGAAAUCCCAGGGCUCAACCCUGGAACUGCCUUUGAUACUGUCGAUCUGGAGUAUGGAAGAGGUGAGUGGAAUUCCGAGUGUAGAGGUGAAAUUCGUAGAUAUUCGGAGGAACACCAGUGGCGAAGGCGGCUCANCUGGUUCCAUUG
Molecule: ribosomal RNA, 685 nt
Filed under: uncultured bacterium
Lineage: Bacteria
Description: bacterial SSU rRNA
Rfam family: Bacterial small subunit ribosomal RNA
Source: RNAcentral